UUAAGUGACUAAGCGUACAAGGUGGAUGCCUUGGCAAUCAGAGGCGAAGAAGGACGUGCUAAUCUGCGAAAAGCUUGGAUGAGUCGAUAAGAGGCGUUUAAUCCAAGAUAUCCGAAUGGGGAAACCCAGUAGAUGAAGAAUCUACUAUCAACAAGUGAAUACAUAGCUUGUUGAGGCAAACCGGGAGAACUGAAACAUCUAAGUACCCCGAGGAAAAGAAAUCAACCGAGAUUUCGUCAGUAGCGGCGAGCGAAAGCGAAAGAGCCAGUAAGUGAUAACAGUAUGGUUAGGAGAAUGUGUUGGGAAGCACAAUCAAAGAGGGUGAUAAUCCCGUAUCUAAAAACUAUAUUGUGGUACUAAGCUAACGAGAAGUAGGGCGGGACACGUGAUAUCCUGUUUGAAGAAGGGGGGACCAUCCUCCAAGGCUAAAUACUCCUGAUUGACCGAUAGUGAACCAGUACUGUGAAGGAAAGGCGAAAAGAACCCCGGUGAGGGGAGUGAAAUAGAACCUGAAACCUUGUACGUACAAGCAGUGGGAGCCCGAAAGGGUGACUGCGUACCUUUUGUAUAAUGGGUCAGCGACUUAUAUUUUGUAGCGAGGUUAACCGAAUAGGGGAGCCGAAGGGAAACCGAGUCUUAACUGGGCGAGUAGUUGCAAGGUAUAGACCCGAAACCCGGUGAUCUAGCCAUGGGCAGGUUGAAGGUUGGGUAACACUAACUGGAGGACCGAACCGACUAAUGUUGAAAAAUUAGCGGAUGACUUGUGGCUGGGGGUGAAAGGCCAAUCAAACCGGGAGAUAGCUGGUUCUCCCCGAAAUCUAUUUAGGUAGAGCCUUGAGGUGACACCUUUGGGGGUAGAGCACUGUUUCGGCUAGGGGGCCAUCCCGGCUUACCAACCCGAUGCAAACUACGAAUACCAAAGAGUGAUACUCAGGAGACACACGGCGGGUGCUAACGUCCGUCGUGGAGAGGGAAACAACCCAGACCGCCAGCUAAGGUCCCCAAGUCUAUAUUAAGUGGGAAACGAAGUGGGAAGGCUUAGACAGCUAGGAUGUUGGCUUAGAAGCAGCCAUCAUUUAAAGAAAGCGUAAUAGCUCACUAGUCGAGUCGGCCUGCGCGGAAGAUGUAACGGGGCUGAAAUAUAGCACCGAAGCUGCGGCAUCAGGCGUAAGUCUGUUGGGUAGGGGAGCGUUCUGUAAGCGGAUGAAGGUUAAUCGAGAGGUUAGCUGGACGUAUCAGAAGUGCGAAUGCUGACAUAAGUAACGAUAAAACGGGUGAAAAACCCGUUCGCCGGAAGACCAAGGGUUCCUGUCCAACGUUAAUCGGGGCAGGGUGAGUCGGCUCCUAAGGCGAGGCUGAAAAGCGUAGUCGAUGGGAAACAGGUUAAUAUUCCUGUACUUGGUAAAGCUGCGAUGUGGGGACGGAGUAGGUUAGGUUAUCGCACUGUUGGAUAUGUGCGUUUAAGUUGGUAGGUGGGAAGUUUAGGCAAAUCCGGACUUCUAUUAAACACUGAGAGAUGAUGACGAGGCUCUAAGGAGCUGAAGUAACUGAUACCACACUUCCAGGAAAAGCCACUAAGCGACAGGCUUUACUAAACCGUACUGAAAACCGACACAGGUGGUCAGGUAGAGAAUACUCAGGCGCUUGAGAGAACUCGGGUGAAGGAACUAGGCAAAAUAGCACCGUAACUUCGGGAGAAGGUGCGCCGGCGUAGAUUGUAAGGGCUAGCCCCUGAAGGUUGAACCGGUCGAAGAUACCAGCUGGCUGCAACUGUUUAUUAAAAACACAGCACUCUGCAAACACGAAAGUGGAGGUAUAGGGUGUGAUGCCUGCCCGGUGCUGGAAGGUUAAUUGAUGGUGUAAUCGCAAGAGAAGCACCUGAUCGAAGCCCCAGUAAACGGCGGCCGUAACUAUAACGGUCCUAAGGUAGCGAAAUUCCUUGUCGGGUAAGUUCCGACCUGCACGAAUGGCAUAAUGAUGGCCAGGCUGUCUCCACCCGAGACUCAGUGAAAUUGAAAUCGCCGUGAAGAUGCGGUGUACCCGCGGCUAGACGGAAAGACCCCGUGAACCUUUACUAUAGCUUGACACUGAACAUUGAAUUUUGAUGUGUAGGAUAGGUGGGAGACUUAGAAGUAGGAACGCCAGUUUCUAUGGAGUCAUCCUUGAAAUACCACCCUUUAACGUUUGAUGUUCUAACGAAGAUUGCGGAACGCGGUCUCGGACAGUGUCUGGUGGGUAGUUUGACUGGGGCGGUCUCCUCCCAAAGCGUAACGGAGGAGCACGAAGGUUUGCUAAUCACGGUCGGACAUCGUGAGGUUAGUGCAAUGGUAUAAGCAAGCUUAACUGCGAGACAGACAAGUCGAGCAGGUACGAAAGUAGGUCAUAGUGAUCCGGUGGUUCUGAAUGGAAGGGCCAUCGCUCAACGGAUAAAAGGUACUCCGGGGAUAACAGGCUGAUACCGCCCAAGAGUUCAUAUCGACGGCGGUGUUUGGCACCUCGAUGUCGGCUCAUCACAUCCUGGGGCUGAAGUAGGUCCCAAGGGUAUGGCUGUUCGCCAUUUAAAGUGGUACGCGAGCUGGGUUUAGAACGUCGUGAGACAGUUCGGUCCCUAUCUGCCGUGGGCGUAGGAGAAUUGGUUGGGGCUGCUCCUAGUACGAGAGGACCGGAGUGGACGCACCACUGGUGUUCCGGUUGUGUCGCCAGACGCAUUGCCGGGUAGCUAAGUGCGGAAGAGAUAAGUGCUGAAAGCAUCUAAGCACGAAACUUGCCAAGAGAUGAGUUCUCCCAAUCUAAGAGAUAGUAAGGGUUGUUGUAGACUACGACGUAGAUAGGUCUGGUGUGUAAGUGUAGUGAUACAUUGAGCUAACAGAUACUAAUUGCCCGAGAGGCUUAACU
Molecule: ribosomal RNA, 2895 nt
Filed under: Haemophilus influenzae
Lineage: Bacteria; Pseudomonadati; Pseudomonadota; Gammaproteobacteria; Pasteurellales; Pasteurellaceae
Description: 23S ribosomal RNA
Rfam family: Bacterial large subunit ribosomal RNA
Source: RNAcentral